AGUGAACGCUGGCGGUAGGCCUAACACAUGCAAGUCGAACGGCAGCACAGUAAGAGCUUGCUCUUACGGGUGGCGAGUGGCGGACGGGUGAGGAAUACAUCGGAAUCUACUUUUUCGUGGGGGAUAACGUAGGGAAACUUACGCUAAUACCGCAUACGACCUACGGGUGAAAGCAGGGGAUCUUCGGACCUUGCGCGAUUGAAUGAGCCGAUGUCGGAUUAGCUAGUUGGCGGGGUAAAGGCCCACCAAGGCGACGAUCCGUAGCUGGUCUGAGAGGAUGAUCAGCCACACUGGAACUGAGACACGGUCCAGACUCCUACGGGAGGCAGCAGUGGGGAAUAUUGGACAAUGGGCGCAAGCCUGAUCCAGCCAUACCGCGUUGGGGAAGAAGGCCUUCGGGUUGUAAAGCCCUUUUGUGGGGAAAGAAAAGCAGCAGGUUAAUACCCCGCUGUUCUGACGGUACCCAAAGAAUAAGCACCGGCUAACUUCGUG
Molecule: ribosomal RNA, 492 nt
Filed under: uncultured bacterium
Lineage: Bacteria
Description: partial 16S ribosomal RNA
Rfam family: Bacterial small subunit ribosomal RNA
Source: RNAcentral